This 859-nucleotide ribosomal RNA is filed under the name Staphylococcus aureus. Its description in RNAcentral is "partial 23S ribosomal RNA". It matches the Rfam family "Bacterial large subunit ribosomal RNA", at positions 1603 to 2463 of the family's 2925-position model. Lineage: Bacteria; Bacillati; Bacillota; Bacilli; Caryophanales; Staphylococcaceae. The record is from RNAcentral.
CACUGCCGAGAAAAGCCUCUAGAUAGAAAAUAGGUGCCCGUACCGCAAACCGACACAGGUAGUCAAGAUGAGAAUUCUAAGGUGAGCGAGCGAACUCUCGUUAAGGAACUCGGCAAAAUGACCCCGUAACUUCGGGAGAAGGGGUGCUCUUUAGGGUUAACGCCCAGAAGAGCCGCAGUGAAUAGGCCCAAGCGACUGUUUAUCAAAAACACAGGUCUCUGCUAAACCGUAAGGUGAUGUAUAGGGGCUGACGCCUGCCCGGUGCUGGAAGGUUAAGAGGAGUGGUUAGCUUCUGCGAAGCUACGAAUCGAAGCCCCAGUAAACGGCGGCCGUAACUAUAACGGUCCUAAGGUAGCGAAAUUCCUUGUCGGGUAAGUUCCGACCCGCACGAAAGGCGUAACGAUUUGGGCACUGUCUCAACGAGAGACUCGGUGAAAUCAUAGUACCUGUGAAGAUGCAGGUUACCCGCGACAGGACGGAAAGACCCCGUGGAGCUUUACUGUAGCCUGAUAUUGAAAUUCGGCACAGCUUGUACAGGAUAGGUAGGAGCCUUUGAAACGUGAGCGCUAGCUUACGUGGAGGCGCUGGUGGGAUACUACCCUAGCUGUGUUGGCUUUCUAACCCGCACCACUUAUCGUGGUGGGAGACAGUGUCAGGCGGGCAGUUUGACUGGGGCGGUCGCCUCCUAAAAGGUAACGGAGGCGCUCAAAGGUUCCCUCAGAAUGGUUGGAAAUCAUUCAUAGAGUGUAAAGGCAUAAGGGAGCUUGACUGCGAGACCUACAAGUCGAGCAGGGUCGAAAGACGGACUUAGUGAUCCGGUGGUUCCGCAUGGAAGGGCCAUCGCUCAACGGAUAAAAGC